UACGUAGGGUGCAAGCGUUGUCCGGAAUUAUUGGGCGUAAAGAGCUUGUAGGCGGUUUGUCGCGUCUGCUGUGAAAUUUCGGGGCUCAACCCCGAACUUGCAGUGGGUACGGGCAGACUAGAGUGUGGUAGGGGAGACUGGAAUUCCUGGUGUAGCGGUGAAAUGCGCAGAUAUCAGGAGGAACACCGGUGGCGAAGGCGGGUCUCUGGGCCGAAACUGACGCUGAGGCACGAAAGCUAGGGGGGCAAACAGG
RNAcentral lists this ribosomal RNA (253 nucleotides) under uncultured bacterium. Its description in RNAcentral is "partial 16S ribosomal RNA". It matches the Rfam family "Bacterial small subunit ribosomal RNA", at positions 524 to 776 of the family's 1533-position model. The record is from RNAcentral.